UUCGGGGGCAGGCUUCGGCAGCCGAAACUGCCUCCACAAGGGGGUUCGGCGGCCGAAAGUCACUUCGGCGGCCGAACCUGAGUUUCUGCCGAAGGGCAGAAACUUGGUUCCCUUGUGUCCACAGCCUCCAAAACGCCUCAAAACAUGCAUAAACUUGUUUCUAAACAUGCAUACACAUCAUACAUCACACCUAGGGGUCUCAAACUAUAAAAUACCCCAACUACAACACUUCAAACACAUAAACAUCAACAUACAUUGUUCAUCAAAGCAUCACAACCCAUAAGCUCAUAAACCUAACAACAAGCCUAAACAUGCAUUCUACCCCAUCAACUUGCAUAAAACUUUCAUAAAGCAUAAGAGAAGCAUAGAUCGAAGCUUACCUCUUGAAGAAACGAGAGGAAAGGCGAUCCUAGCUUGGAGAUGGAGAGAUUGAGCUCUUUGAACCUCCAAGUACCCAAAACUUGCUCUUAGUUCACAGAUCUUCAAAAAGGAAGUUAAAACUCGUGAAAACCAUGAAAGAUCUAGGGAAAACAUUCAAGAUUGAGGGAGGAGCGGCGGAGACUCACCUUGGCCGACAAUGGGAGAGAAAAAGCUCACCCGUGCAGACCAAAGGGACCCUUUUAUAUGUGGCUGGCCAGGCCACGUUCGGGGGCCGAAUGUGCCUCCGUAUCCAUGCAAUGUUCGGCGGCCGAACAUAAGGUUCGGCGGCCGAACCUGCACUUCCCUCACUCAUGCUUUCGGGGGCCUAACGUGCCUCCUAAUCACAUGCAUGUUCGGCGGCCGAAACUCAAGUUCGGCGGCCGAACCUGGGUUUUCCUUCAAGCUACAUUCAUGCAAAAACUCAUUUAAUUUCUUACUUAAAAACAUGAAAUACAUGAAAACAUUUCAUAAAAUCAUAGUUUUACCCUUCUAGAGGUUUCCGACAUCCGUGGUCCCACCGGACGGUAGGGAUUCCGAUACCGGAGUCUAGCCGGGUAUUACAAU
This 984-nucleotide long non-coding RNA is filed under the name Manihot esculenta (cassava). RNAcentral's name for it is "long non-coding RNA (MESC_LNC000035)". Lineage: Eukaryota; Viridiplantae; Streptophyta; Magnoliopsida; Malpighiales; Euphorbiaceae. The record is from RNAcentral.